This 677-nucleotide ribosomal RNA is filed under the name uncultured delta proteobacterium. RNAcentral describes it as "bacterial SSU rRNA". It matches the Rfam family "Bacterial small subunit ribosomal RNA", at positions 112 to 764 of the family's 1533-position model. Lineage: Bacteria; Deltaproteobacteria. The record is from RNAcentral.
AACGCGUGGGUAAUCUACCUCCGAAUCGGGGAUAACCCGCCGAAAGGCGAGCUAAUACCGGAUAAUAUCUUUAAAACUUCGGUUUUAAAGAUCAAAGGUGGUCUCUACAUGUAAGCUACUGUUUGGAGAUGAGCCCGCGUACCAUUAGCUUGUUGGUAGGGUAAUGGCCUACCAAGGCUUCGAUGGUUAGCUGGUCUGAGAGGAUGAUCAGCCACACUGGAACUGACACACGGUCCAGACUCCUACGGGAGGCAGCAGUGAGGAAUUUUGCGCAAUGGGGGAAACCCUGACGCAGCAACGCCGCGUGAGUGAUGAAGGCUUUCGUGUCGUAAAACUCUGUCAAGUGGGAAGAAAAUGCUUGAUGCUAAUACCAUCUUGCACUGACGGUACCACUGAAGGAAGCACCGGCUAACUCCGUGCCAGCAGCCGCGGUAAUACGGGGGGUGCAAGCGUUAUUCGGAAUUAUUGGGCGUAAAGGGCGCGUAGGCGGUCUCUUAAGUCAGAUGUGAAAGCCCGGGGCUCAACCCCGGAAGUGCAUUUGAAACUAAGGGACUUGANUAUGGGAGAGGGAAGUGGAAUUCCUGGUGUAGAGGUGAAAUUCGUAGAUAUCAGGAGGAACACCGGUGGCGAAGGCGACUUCCUGGACCAAUACUGACGCUAAGGCGCCGAAGGCGUGG